UACGUAGGGGGCGAGCGUUGUCCGAAGUUACUGGGCGUAAAGCGCGCGUAGGCGGCUCUUUAAGUCUGGCGUGAAAGGUUCAGGGCUCAACCCGAACAGUGCGCUGGAGACUGGAGAGCUUGAGGACGGGAGAGGGAAGCGGAAUUCCGGGUGUAGCGGUGAAAUGCGUAGAUAUCCGGAGGAACACCGAUGGCGAAGGCAGCUUCCUGGCCCGUAUCUGACGCUGAGGUGCGAAAGCGUGGGGAGCGAGCGGG
Molecule: ribosomal RNA, 254 nt
Filed under: uncultured bacterium
Lineage: Bacteria
Description: partial 16S ribosomal RNA
Rfam family: Bacterial small subunit ribosomal RNA
Source: RNAcentral